GGGCGGUUAGCUCAGUUGGUUAGAGCGCCUGCCUUACAAGCAGGAUGUCGGGGGUUCGAGUCCCUCACUGCCCA
Molecule: transfer RNA, 74 nt
Organism: Acidobacterium capsulatum ATCC 51196
Lineage: Bacteria; Pseudomonadati; Acidobacteriota; Terriglobia; Terriglobales; Acidobacteriaceae
Rfam family: tRNA
About the family: Transfer RNA (tRNA) molecules are approximately 80 nucleotides in length.
Source: Rfam